CCCUGCGCCUGGGGUCGGCGGACAAACAGCGGGCCGUCUAGCCACGCCCCCACUGAGAGCUGCGGAAAACUACACUUCCCAGGGUUCCCCGCGGCGACGUGGCGCUGCCGGGGGCAGAGGGCCCGGGCUGGGGGCGGGGCCGCCGGGGUCGCAGUCGGAAGACUCGGGAGGGUGUCCGCCUGACGCCGCGGGAGCGAAGGCCGGGCGGGAGGCCUUGGCCUUCCGGAGGGAGGUAGAGGGGAAGGGGACAACACAAGGGAAGACCGAGGAGCCGCAAGUUCCCUCUACGGCUUAGCUCACCCGCUUACCCAGGCCACGCGGAGGCGCAGAGGUGGUUCGCCAAGGAAAAGCGUGGAUAUUUCGCCAGACGGCAAAAUUCUGGGAUGUCAGAGUUACAGGGCUUGGAGGUGGGGGAGAGCAAAGGUUGGCAGCAGGUCCCGAGCCUAGAGGGCAGCAGAGGCCCCGGGACCGAGGGAGGGACUGCUGUGUCGCUGGGUCUUGGUCCGGGAGAGGUCGGCCCUGAGGAGCAGGUGGUGGGCGUGAGCAAGGCUGGGGGCCAGAGAGGAACAGCAGGGACGGUUUGCAGAUUCCCAGCACCCAGUUCACUAGAAGAGUCAGCAAAUUCUCCUGCCGCCAUCUCCCUCAUCCGCAACUCUGGCAGGGUUGGGCUCCAUUGCUGGGAAUCUGGGUGGCCUCUCCCAAAAGACCGGAGUAGCAGUGGGCUACCCAGCCCUAUGCCCUGCAGCUCUGCUACCCUGAUCCUGUUAGCUGUGCACGGUGCCCCAACAUUUACAGUCCUGGUAAUAUCGCUCACACUUAUCAAACACCCACCGUGACUAUUCUUAUAUCUUGUUCUAAGUAACUCUCACAAUAGCUUUAUGAUGAAGUCUUAUCACUUCCAUUUUUUCGCGAGGAAAAUUGAGGGACAGAACGGGGUAUGUUUAAGGUCAUGUAGCUUUUCAUUCGUCCUAUGAAUGAGUCUGGCUCCCACAGGACAUAUUACAGGUACACACACGUAACAUAGCAGGUGUUCCAUACAUGAACACGGUGACUUCGCCAGGAAUGAGUGCUGAGUUUAGCCUGAAGCCAGGCAGGGCCUCAAAAUAUUGUAAUACCGGGGGGCUCAAAUCUGGGGCUUUCACUUACUGGUUAUUCACCACCUGUCCAUAAGUGCCAGGAACUUUUCUGGGGCUGAAAAGGUGGUACAGGGUCUGUGUCCCAGGAAGUUUGAGAUUUAAUGGGUCUUAGGGCUUUGGAGUAGUGCCUCUCUGUCUAAGAUCCAGCAUCAGCCCCUCCAAGUCCUUAGAGAUGUGUUCCUCUUCCUACUGGGGACUUAGGGUUCCAGUGAGAGGAGGGUAGGGUAGGGUAAAGCCCCCUGAGGGUCACUGCAAGUAGCUAUAGGCCCAGGAGCCGAUGGUCUUGAGGCUGUGGGCUUGGGGGAAGGAAUACUGCUUCCAUUCUUCUUUGGUUUCUUCAGCGUCUUGGGAAUGUGAGGAGAGAGGAAAGAAAGGUGAGUUCAGCCAGCAGCCAAGCUGGCACCUCCCAUCUGUCUCUCUCUCCCCAGGCAUGAUAGAGUCUUGUCUGGGCUUGGCCAAGCGGGGGCUGGAGACCUGUGGGAGAGAAGAGGAUGGGAAGGAGGGGGAAAGUCCAUAGAACUUGCUUUUCCUAGAUGUCUCAGUGCACCCGGGUGGCCUCCUUCUUCCCCAUCCUAAAUAAUUCAGUCCACACCCCUGGAGAAAACUUGUGUUGGGACAUGAGGAAGAAUUUCCCAACUGGAAGGAAAGCAUAUAGGAUCUCCUGGGGUGGAGAUGUGGGGGGGGGGGCGGAAUUCUUACCCACCCAGCCCUCUCUUCCUAGAGAGCAGUGGAGGAUGGCGUGACCCCUGGAGAAAUCUGCCUCCCAAUGACAGACUAGAGCACAAAUCCUACCUUGGACACCUCCCCCGACCCCAUCAGACCCCAGGCAUUCCCUCCCCUCUCCCAAGGCUGCUCCACUCCCUGUGGCAGAAUUGGUAGGGCUAUGGGUGGGCUCGGCUGGGAUAGAGGUCUGCUUUUUUUUUUUGCUUUUUAGGGCUGCACUCACGGCACUUGAAAGUUCCUAGGCUAGGGGUCAAAUCAGAGCUCCAGCUGCCAGUCCCAGCCCCAGCCUCAGCAAUAAGGGAUUGAAGCCUCGUUUGUGACCUACACCAUAGCUCAUGGCAAUGCCGGAUCCCUGACCUACUGAGCAAAGCCAGGGAUUGAACCCCAUGUCCUCAUGGAUGCUGGUCGGAUUUGUUUUCCGCCUCGCCAUGAUGGGAACUCCAGAGGUCUUUCUUUAUUUUCAAAAUCCACUUACCCUAUUAGAGAAGGGGUCCCUGGGGAUGUGGGGAGCCAACAAGAGUGCUGGUCCCAGAUGCUCUUGCUCAGUUCUCAGUUCCGCCCCAUCUCCCUUCCUUCCCUUCAUCAUCGUGAUUUACCGACAGUGUCAAAUCUCAUCUUUUUCCCUGGGAUUCCCUACAAUCUAUUCAUCACACAUCGGAACAUGUCCCUGCCCUGCUUAAACCCUGCAAGGGCUUCCUAUCACCCUUGGGAAAAAACUCAAACUGUCCCCUUUGUCUAAAAUGCCCUUCUCGGAGUUCCUGUCAUGGUGCAGCGGAAACGAAUCCCACUAGGAACCAUGAGGUUGCAGGUUUGAUCCCUGGCCUUGCUCAGUGGGUUAAGCAUCUGGUGUUGCUGUGAGCGGUGGUGUAGGUCACAGAUGCGGCUCGGAUCCUGUGUGGCUGUGGCUGUGGCGUAGGCCGGUGGCUACGGUUCCGAUUUGACCCCUAGCCUGGGAACCUCCAUAUGCUUAGGGUUCAGCCCUAAAAAGAAAAAAAUAAAAAAAAAAUAAAAUGUCCUUCUCUCAGCUCUUGGCAUGGUGGGCUCCUUGCCUGUCUGGGUUCUGUACGCAUGUCGCUCCAUCUUUGUGGAUUCUUUGCCCAAGCACUUGCCCUAGAGAUUGAGAGAGAGCCACUGUCGAGGCCAUCCUCUCUCAUCAUGCUUUAUUUUCUCAUAGUACUUAGCAGUGUCUGAAAUUACCGUAUCGAUUUGUUAACCCGUAUUCUUGGGCGGCAGCAGUGCAGUGCAGUAGUUGAAAGCAUGGGAAGUGGUUUGAACAAACACUUCCUGGAUGCGUAACCUUGGGUUAAUUGGUUAACCUCUCUGAGCCUUGGUUUCCUCAUUUGUCAAGUGGGCGAAGCAGCAGUCCCGGCGUCCUGUCCUGACGGUCAGGGAGAUGAUGGCUGUCACACCCUCCGGGCUCACGAAAAGUUGGCUGCUGUUAUUAUGAUGCUGGUUCUGAUCUACGGUUUACGGCGAACUCGUUCUGUGGCCUAAAACAGUGCUGAAGGAACCGGAAAGUAAACCUUCACCUAGGGUGUGGGACGCACUCUCCACGCAGCUGUGCGGUGCAGGGAACACCAUUUUGGAAGUGACAAGAAAUGCCGUGUCCCUGAGUAGCCCGAACAGUUUUUGAGAGAGAGUCAGGAGACCUUGGUCCUGGCGUCAACAUUGCUACCGCUUUGGUGCAGGUCACAGGUUGCUGGUGAGGCCCUCACCUUCCUUGAGCCUCGGGUUCUUCAAAGAAAAUGAUGGGUUGGGGAGUUCUCUUGUGGUGCAGUGGCUUAAGGAUCAGGCAUUGUCACUGCAGUGGCUCUGGUUGCUCAGGCCUGGCCUGGGAACUUCUGCAUGCUGCAGGUGUGGCUUAAAAAAAAAAAAAGGGGGGAGUUCUUGUCUAGGUUCAGCAGAAAUGAAUCUGACUAGGAACCAUGAGGUUGCGGGUUUGAUCCCUGGCCUUGCUCAGUGGGUUAAGGAUCCGGCAUUGCCGUGAGCUCUGGUGUAGGUCACAGACACGGCUCGGAUCGCGUGUUGCUGUGGCUCUGGCAUAGGCCAGCAGCUGUAGUUCCUAUUCGACCCCUAGCCUGGGAACUUCCAUAUGCCAAGGGUGCAGCCCUAAAAAGCAAAAAAAAAAAAGGGGGGGUUGCUCCCUGCCAGCUUCCAGGGGUUCUAGUUGGGCCCUGUGCUCCUUUAUCCACUGCAUACUUUUCAGUGUUGGGGACACACAGUGCCCCCAACUCCCUCAGCUCUGCUUCCUAACUCUUCAAAGCUGCCACAGAGAGAGCUGACCUGGGGAAAAUAUUGUUGGUCUUAAGCCUUUGAUCCCAGAGACAAAGUCCCAGCCCUGGACACCGGAUCUUCUUUCUGCCCAGGUCCGGCCCUCCCCUUCAGCCUCACCCACUUUCAUAUUUGAGCCCAUGGGGAGGAGAGCCAGCCCCGCCUGAGCCACCCUUCCCCCACCGCAGGCAUGAAGGCCUUGGCCUCAGACAUGCAGGCAGAGCAUGCAGACAGCUGGAAGCACGCAGACGCAUGUGCCUGGGUGUACUUGUGGGUCUCUGCAGUUAUAUUUUAACUUGUUCCUGUUUUUUUCUCAGUUGUGUCAGGACUGAGAUUAGAGGAAAAGAUUGUAGGAUGGCAGGGCUGGCAUUCUCUACCCUCUGCCUGAGGGAAGAAGCCACCUGUCAAAUGAGAUGUUAGUCUCUAGGGGUGUUGUGGGGGUCGCUUCCUUUGUCUGCCCCCACUCCCUGCAAGAUGUGCCGGUGGUCCAACAGGAUUUGAGGGAGGAGGGGCAUGAGACAGAAGCCCCGGUGGGACUCAGAGGGCGGGAGCUUUUCCAAGGAGCCAGGAGGGCUGCAGGCCUGGGAGCAGGUGUGUCUGGUGGUGGCCUCAUGCUGAGUUCUUUGCCCCCUUGGUCCCUGCUGCCAGAUUGUCAGCUGUCCACUCUUUACUGGAGCUGCCUCUCCAGUCACGGGUCAGUCUGGGGGACUGGGUUAGAUGGCCAGUGAGAUCUCCAAGGGGAAGAUGGACUAAGGAAGGGGUUCUCCCUUUCCCUUCUCUGUCCUCUUUGUUUCAGAGGCUGAGCCCACCUGCCUGACACCUGGCACCCAGCUCGUCUGGGAUGCUGUCUGUCUCCCUGCUAAAGCUGAGGCCUGGUCUUCUGCCUGUCUCCCUUUUCUUCAGUGCCUCCUGGAGGGGGCGGCCCAGAGGAGCAGGUUUUGGAAGGCAGGGCUUGAUGUGUGUUGAAGGAGGAGUCUGUGCUUUGUGCAGUGAGGUGUGGCAUUGGCUGGCUUGCUUAAGCUGGGGCAGAUCAGAAGGCUGGUUCGAGGGGUGCAGGGAAGUCUGACGGCGCUACUCUGGUAUUAUCGCCCUUCCUUUAAACUUAAGACCUAGGUGGAGUUCCCUGGUGGCUCAGCCAGUUAAGGAUUGGCAUUGUCUCUGCUGUGACUGGUGACUACUGUGGCACAGGUUCAAUCUUUUGAUUCCUGGCCUAGGAAUUUCCCAGUCCACUGGCAUGGACCAACAAACAAAAAAACC
RNAcentral lists this long non-coding RNA (5387 nucleotides) under Sus scrofa (pig). RNAcentral's name for it is "lncRNA (ENSSSCG00000053751.1)". Lineage: Eukaryota; Metazoa; Chordata; Mammalia; Artiodactyla; Suidae. The record is from RNAcentral.